This 421-nucleotide ribosomal RNA is filed under the name uncultured bacterium. RNAcentral's name for it is "bacterial SSU rRNA". It matches the Rfam family "Bacterial small subunit ribosomal RNA", at positions 355 to 774 of the family's 1533-position model. The record is from RNAcentral.
UAAGGAAUAUUGGUCAAUGGACGCAAGUCUGAACCAGCCAUGCCGCGUGAAGGAUGAAGGUCCUCUGGAUUGUAAACUUCUUUUAUCUGGGACGAAAACGGGAUUUUUAUCUCAAUUGACGGUACCAGAGGAAUAAGCACCGGCUAACUCCGUGCCAGCAGCCACGGUAAUACGGAGGGUGCGAGCGUUAUCCGGAUUUACUGGGUUUAAAGGGUGCGUAGGUGGGCUUAUAAGUCAGUGGUGAAAUCUCCGAGCUUAACUUGGAAACUGCCGUUGAUACUAUAGGUCUUGAAUUAUCUGGAGGUGAGCGGAAUAUGUCAUGUAGCGGUGAAAUGCUUAGAUAUGACAUAGAACACCAAUUGCGAAGGCAGCUUACUACAUAUAAAUUGACGCUGAGGCACGAAAGCGUGGGGAUCAAACA